UAUGAUAUUUCAUGUCUUCAUGAAACUGGAAAAGUAAAAGCUCAUCAUUUUUCAGUAUUUGUCCUUAUUCAGACAUUAUUAUUGAGCUAUAGUCACUUAAUUUUCUAAUGGAGCACAAUCUAAGUGAAUUCAGUGUUUAAUAUAUUUUGUUUUAUUGCCAAAAAUAUCAAAUUUAUGGAAUAAAUUAAAUCAGUUUAAUUACUUAAUUUGUUUUAAGAAGAGUUUAUAAGUUUGAAUAUGGUAUUCUGUUUAAUUUAUUACACUGAAUUCUUCACUCAACAGUUAAAUCACAGUAAAAGUAGAAAUGAGAAUCAAAGGUUGAAAGAAGACUAAAUUAUCUUCACAAGAUUUUUCUCCAGUGUUUACAGAGUCCCAAAAGAGCGGAAAAUGAAGAACUAUGGCUGAAGCAAGGAGACUUUCUGAUUUCUGCUCACCUAAAGCACGGUUAUUUGAUCAAAUUGGCCAGGUACUGGUGCUAAAGAACCCACAAAGCCUUCUUUGUAUCACUGAACCAGACUUGUUCUCUCCAAGUGCUGUGAAGAUAUGUGCUAGAUUUGUGCUUCCCACCAUCAAAGUUUCAGGAAGUUCAGGACACCUGCAGCAGGCAGCAAUACAGAUGUGGAGUUCACAGAUGUGUCCUUACUCCACUUGAAAGGAACGAACCAGUAUCAACUACCAUUUUGGUCUCUUCAGCAGUCACUUCUGUUCAAAUACUCCUACUUGAAAACUGCCAGUGAUCUGAAUCAUGGCAGUACAGUCUGUGAAGAAAGAAUUUCUUUUAGGAAAUCAAAAUCACUUUGGCACUUCUGGGUCAAAAGCCAAGUGUUAUUUUCUAUUGGAAAAGUUAUUGGAAGUUCACACACUACUUGCAAUAUAAGUGUCAGAGACCUCUCACCUAGAAGCCAGAUUCACUCCACACUAACCUGAAAUUCCAAACAAUUUUAGUCUUUGUGGUAUAAACAAAACCUGUUUCUGUAUAAGGUAUGAAUAAAUUUUAAAUGUUAAAG
This 1007-nucleotide long non-coding RNA is filed under the name Cyanistes caeruleus (blue tit). RNAcentral's name for it is "lncRNA (ENSCCEG00000006001.1)". The record is from RNAcentral. Lineage: Eukaryota; Metazoa; Chordata; Aves; Passeriformes; Paridae.